GAACAAUGUCAAAACACUUUCAGCAAUGGAUGUCUUGGCUCCCACACCGAUGAAGAACGCAGUGAAAUGCGAUACGUCAUGCGAAUUGCAAAAUCAGUGAGUCAUCAAAACUUUGAACGCAUCUUGCACUUCCUUCGGGGAGUAUGUCUGUUGGAGUGUCUGUUCAUCCCCACCAU
This 176-nucleotide ribosomal RNA is filed under the name Spumella-like flagellate JBC/S24. RNAcentral describes it as "5.8S ribosomal RNA". The stretch from base 15 to 161 matches the Rfam family "5.8S ribosomal RNA". From Rfam's summary of the family: 5.8S ribosomal RNA (5.8S rRNA) is a component of the large subunit of the eukaryotic ribosome. It is transcribed by RNA polymerase I as part of the 45S precursor that also contains 18S and 28S rRNA. Functionally, it is thought that 5.8S rRNA may be involved in ribosome translocation. Lineage: Eukaryota; Chrysophyceae. RNAcentral also lists the same sequence under 1 other name. The record is from RNAcentral.